Long non-coding RNA from Xenopus tropicalis (tropical clawed frog), 1803 nucleotides. RefSeq lists it as uncharacterized. NCBI's taxonomy places the organism in Eukaryota, Metazoa, Chordata, Amphibia, Anura, Pipidae. The record is from RefSeq and is a predicted model, not a curated record. The transcript is spliced from 2 exons.
CCCCUUAUCCGGAAUACUCUUGGUCCCAAGCAUUCUGGAUAACGGGUCCUAUACCUGUAUUAUACAUUGCAGAGGGAUCAUUCUCUAAAAUGUGCGCAGCAGAGCAAUAGCUAUUUUUUGAAAAUAUUUUUUACCCUGGAUUCCAUCGUGGUUUUCUUUUUUUAAAAAAAAAAAAUAGAAUUCGGUAAAUAUCCCCACACCACAGAUACUAAUAAUUUAUAGUUAUAUAAAUGCUGGGGACAGAGUUUGUACAGGAGGAAUCCGUUCCGUUAUCAUCUGGCUUCCAAGAAGCCAGUAACGUUCCAAUAUUGGUUUUAAAAAAUUAAAAACAAAAAAAAAUAAAAGUUUUUCAAUUUCAGGGAUUUCAUUUUUUUGCAUUUUAACAAAAGAGCUUCCUAUAUACAACUUUUACAUUCAGAUAACUGCAUUCACUUCUGGUCCAGCUGCAUCAUGUGACUGUGAGAAUCCAGACCUUACAGUGAAAGCCCCUGGCAUUAUAGAAAGAAUUACCAUUAAACACUUAAGAGGAAUUCAGGAGCCCAACUCUACUGUAACAGCACCAGGACUGAAGGUUGCCCCUCCCAGAGUUAGCCAUUUGGUUAAACGUUGGCCACAGCACCAUAGAUUUCUUCUUGCCUCUUAACCCACAGUUGUAGAAACACUGGAUAGCCAUGACUGGUAACCCUUUAUUUCUUACUUUUCCUUCAAUGGUUUCACAAAUGCCUGUAGAAUACUGACGGAGGGAAAUGCCAUGCAGGGAGAAGUGCCCCUUUGAUUGGGACAGAAAUAUAUUGAGUAUAUACUGCCUGUAAUAAAGGACAUUGCACCAAGGACAGUGGGCUCUGACUUCCAAUGGAGAGUUUAAUUCAAUCAAGUUUUUAUGGCAUGAAAAAUAUUUGUCCUUUGUAAAUUGUAAAAAAAUCUUAUUUUAAGUGAAAUUAUUCCCUUUUAUAAUGACUUUAUGCCUUAUCUUCCCUUUUGGGUUGGGUAUGGACAAUCUGUGUACCUUUAGAUGCCAUAGAACUGUAAUUCCCAGCAUCCCCGGACAGUGAUUGAAUGUCGGAAAUGCUGGGUAGGUCCUGGCAGGCCACAGGGUAACGGACCUUGCUGCAAACAGUGCACGAGACAUUCCUUUGAGUAAAUUGUACAUUUAUACAAGAGUAUGGCAUCCUGGGACUUUCCAUCAGAGGUCUUCUCUAUAGGCUUCAACAAACUACUACACCUAGUGGUCAAAGAGAGAUGUUCCUCUGUUGGAAACUAUACAGAGUGUCUUUACUAAGAUGAGCAAUAUGGCAGCCUCUAUUUGCACAAGCAAGUAUGUUCCAUGCACACAAAGCUAUGGCCUCAAUAUUGUUAACCAAAACCUGAAUUCGCUUUUGAGUAUUUUCUAAAGAAUUCUCUUUUUACUCUAUUUGACUUUGAUAAGCAAUUUUUUAGACAUUUUAUGAGAAUUCCUUUACCUGUUGCUUCCUAUGUCUUCUACUGUUAUAAGAGCAAGGGGGCGCCCUUUGGGUUAUAACUAUACAUGUGAGACUUGGAAGACUAAUCUGAUGAACGACUGUUUUAUGAUGGGAAUAGUCCGACGACCGACAUCAAUCAGUCUUCUGACACCCCUGCCUGUCCUUGGACCAGCAGAAACUACUCGAUGAAGCAGCAAACUCCCAGCCUGAGUGGGCACUCACAAAAGCUGCAGAGGGCCCAGGCUUAUUUUCUAUCAGAGUGUGUGUUGCCACUCAGCUGCCAUACUGUAACCUUAGGUGCUUUUGUAAUCAACUUCCAUAAUAAAGUUUAAUUGAAAAAACA